UACGUAGGGUGCAAGCGUUAUCCGGAAUUAUUGGGCGUAAAGAGCUCGUAGGCGGUUUGUCGCGUCUGCUGUGAAAUCUGGAGGCUCAACCUCCAGCCUGCAGUGGGUACGGGCAGACUAGAGUGCGGUAGGGGAGAUUGGAAUUCCUGGUGUAGCGGUGGAAUGCGCAGAUAUCAGGAGGAACACCGAUGGCGAAGGCAGAUCUCUGGGCCGUAACUGACGCUGAGGAGCGAAAGCAUGGGGAGCGAACAGG
RNAcentral lists this ribosomal RNA (253 nucleotides) under uncultured bacterium. RNAcentral describes it as "partial 16S ribosomal RNA". It matches the Rfam family "Bacterial small subunit ribosomal RNA", at positions 524 to 776 of the family's 1533-position model. The record is from RNAcentral.